AAAAAAAAGUUAAAAAAAAAAUUGUAUCAGAAAUCCUAUAAAAUAAGGGAAAAAGAUUUCUGGCCCUAACUUCAGGAGGAACCAAUUUUAUAUUUCCCUUUUUUCUUUCAAAAAAAAAAAGGGCCUUAUCCUGCUAUGUUUUGCUUGAAACCACAGAAGAUACCUGCUGCAGUACUUGGGAAUACGAGAGAAAUGGAAAUUUAAACAAUAAAAUAGACAUACAGAUUUCAUUGAAGAAACAUCACCACCGC
This 251-nucleotide unclassified non-coding RNA is filed under the name Hevea brasiliensis (rubber tree). The record is from RNAcentral. Lineage: Eukaryota; Viridiplantae; Streptophyta; Magnoliopsida; Malpighiales; Euphorbiaceae.